GAGCCCUACUGUUAUGGACUCGCUCACGCGCGCGCGCACUCCCUCCCUCCCUCACUCACUCAGCUAGCUCAAAACAGCUAACAACAAACCUGUGGCCAAAACAAAACUAAAUAAAAAUCAACUAAAAGUCUCUUGCGAGAUUAAUAAAAAUAAAUAAAAACACCCCGGCUCUAGUUAGAACGCGUGUUUCAGCUACAACUUCGACUGCUUAAACUGUCAACAGCGGGUAACUAGUGAUUAAGCUAGCUAUCUAGCUUAACUAGCUUCGUGACAAGACCACAAGCUAACAGGCUAACUAGCGCUACUUCCUGGGAACCAUAUAAGCGUUUAGCCGUACAGCACAGGUUUAUUAUCAGCCUUUGGUGUCUAUGGAGACCAGAACAUCUCUAUGGCAACAGUCAAACAGUCGGUGUUGCAUCAGCCAGAAGUUCGCACGAGGGCGCUAAAGGAGCAGGAUGGCGCGUGGCAGCAUCCCAAAUGACUUCUGUAAGACCACGCAAGGUCAAAAAGGGUUUUUGCAGCACACCUAGGGUGCACUCUGCAUCUCGUGUGAAAUUUGAUAACAGUCAUGUGACCCACCAGAUAUAUUCACUAAACCCAGUUCUGUCAGAAUUCCAACAGGCAGCGUUGUGUUUAGCGUUUAUAGACAUACUGUUUAUCGCAUACCUCAAAAUUCACUCCCUAGUAGUGCGGCAUUUUAAUUAAGAGAUUUACCUUCAGUCCAUGGUUUAAUGUAAGAGGGUUAUACUCUCAAAGUGACCAUCAUCUGCAAAUAAACCGAAUGAAAGAG
This is a long non-coding RNA of Ictalurus punctatus (channel catfish), 790 nucleotides long. RefSeq lists it as uncharacterized. The transcript has 2 exons. The record is from RefSeq and is a predicted model, not a curated record. Lineage: Eukaryota; Metazoa; Chordata; Actinopteri; Siluriformes; Ictaluridae.